GCCACUGCUAUUGGGGUUCGGCUAAGCCAUGCGAGUGGAGGGCGUCCCGCAAGGGAUGGCCCCGCGGACGGCUCAGUAACACGUCGUCAACCCACCUUAGGGUGGGGGACAACCUCGGGAAACUGAGGAUAAUCCCCCAUAGGCGGGGGAGGCUAGAAUGCGCCCCCGCUGAAAGCUCAAGCGCCCUAGGACGGGACGGCGGCCUAUCAGGUAGUUGGUGGUGUGACG
RNAcentral lists this ribosomal RNA (228 nucleotides) under uncultured archaeon. Its description in RNAcentral is "partial 16S ribosomal RNA". It matches the Rfam family "Archaeal small subunit ribosomal RNA", at positions 23 to 246 of the family's 1478-position model. The record is from RNAcentral.